Molecule: non-coding RNA, 271 nt
Filed under: Conticribra weissflogii
Lineage: Eukaryota; Bacillariophyta; Thalassiosirophyceae; Thalassiosirales; Thalassiosiraceae
Source: RNAcentral
ACAGAUCAUUCUCGCCAUCACUCCAAAGACUUCUCGAACAUUGAGCAGGGAGCAGUGAGAGUCGCAACAACAAAAAAUCAAAGUGGAGUAAUCGAGUCAUCACCAUUGCGCGGAGAGAGUGAGACAGCGGUGAUUAUCCGGAGUCAAGACCAAGCACCCUAACAACCGAAAAACCCAACCAUUCUACGUAAUCUUGAUUACGAGUGAAUUGGUUCCAUCAAUUGAUUUCUAUCUCAUAUUAUAUUUUAUUUGCCUCCAAAGAAAGCACUCA